Long non-coding RNA from Ictalurus punctatus (channel catfish), 1279 nucleotides. RefSeq lists it as uncharacterized. The record is from RefSeq and is a predicted model, not a curated record. The transcript is spliced from 3 exons. Lineage: Eukaryota; Metazoa; Chordata; Actinopteri; Siluriformes; Ictaluridae.
AUGUCUUAAUAUUGUUGCUGCUGGUCCAGGAAACCAUUGUUGCAAUCAUGUGCAUAAUAUGAUGGCGUUCAGCCUGAGAAGACUCACUGAAUCACGAGUCAAUCGCAAGGUGAGUCACGUGGUAACCCGAGCUCUCUCUCUCUCUCUCUGUGGCAGCAUCACACAUGACCAGAAAUUCAAGAUCACAUAACACACACACGUAACAUGAUACUCUCUUACCUAGUGUUUCAUUAACCAGAUUCAGUACGCGUGUAUUCAAUUACAAGUCUUAUCAUGAGGAUACAUUCUCUACGCAAAAAAAAAAAACUUAAAAAGCAUCACAGUGCAUGAGGAUGCGAGGAAGGAGUACACCCUUGAUGUGAUGCCAGUCCAGCACAGGGCACCAUACACGGACAUCCACACCUAGAGAAAAUCUGGAGGAAUCCAAAGGAACAUGGGGAGAAAGAGCAAACAGACAAGGUCCUUGAGCUGCGACGCAGUGGCACUGCCUGCUGUGCCACCACGCCACCCUAAGGUUACUCAGUUGGGACGACUCAGACCUGAGCGAAGACUCCACCCCCUGGCUGCAAACACAGUGUUGCCUGACGGCCGAGAGGAACCCCCGUCACUCAGGAAAGCCCCGGCACGACUCCGGCAACCCCGCAGACAACUGAACCCCUCACCACACGAUUUAACGCCCACAUGCAAACACACACACACACACGCACUCGCACUCACUCACACCCUCCAGACGGUCCUGAAAAAGAUCCUACUCGGCAACACUAAAAUGGCCUCCGCCAUGGCUUUCCACUUGCAACCCUGCCAUGCACACCAUUGUUGUUCAGUGUUCUCCUGAUGGUGGACUCAUGAAAUUCAACAUUAGUCAAUGUGAGACAAGCCUUUAGUUGCUUAUAAUUUACUCUGGUUUACCUUUUGGUCUAUUACACAUCUUGGAGUGAUCUUUGUUGGUCAACCACUCCUGGGGAGGGUAACAAUGGUCUUGAAUUGAAAGUGGAUUGGUGGAGUCCAAACUCUUGGACUGGUUUUGUAACUUUUCCAACCUGAAAAAUGUGAACAACUCUUUUUCUGAGGUCCUCAGAAAUCUCAGUGUUCAUGCCAUGAUACACUUCCACAAACAUGUGAUGUGAAGAUCAGACUUUGAUACAUCCCUGUUAUUUAAAUAAAAUAGCAUGCUUACUUACACCUGAUUGUCAUCCCAUUGAGUCUAGGUGAAGGUUCAUAUACUUUUGCCACUUACAGAUAUGUAAUAUUGGAUAAUUUUCCUUAAUAAAUAAAUGAA